RNAcentral lists this ribosomal RNA (1322 nucleotides) under Thalamita spinicarpa. Its description in RNAcentral is "16S ribosomal RNA". The stretch from base 862 to 1262 matches the Rfam family "Bacterial large subunit ribosomal RNA", at positions 2049 to 2651 of the family's 2925-position model. Lineage: Eukaryota; Metazoa; Arthropoda; Malacostraca; Decapoda; Portunidae. The record is from RNAcentral.
AUUUUACUUUAUUGCUACUAUAAUCAUUUAGAUAUUUAUUGAAAACCUAAUAUGAGUUAAAAAAGUAAUUAUUAAUAAAAUUUAAUCCUGGAGCUAUAGAUAAUAAGUACUGAAUAGGAAAUAAAUGUAUGAGUAUUUUAAAAUAACUAAGUAAAUCUAAAUUGUUGUACCUUGUGUAUCAGGGAUAAUUAAAUUAUGACAAGUAUAUUUUGUAAUUCCCGAACUAAAGAUAGCUAAUACUUUAAACAAGUUUUUGUAUCAAAAAAAUUUGUAAUUUGGUAUUAAAGAUGAAACAUUAAACGAGCUUUAAAUUAUCUGGUUCUCUAGGAAUGAAAUAUAAUUUUACUAUUAGAUUAAAUUCAUUUAAUAUUGAAGAAUAGGAGGGACGAGCUUCUUAUUACUAAAAAAAUUAAUUUACAGACGAAAUAAAAUACAACCUUUUCUAGGCUUAAAAGUAGCUAUGAUUAUAAAGUGUUUCAAUUUAGGUUUGAUUUUUAAAUGAUUUAUUUUGUCUUUAUAGUGUACUAGAGUAUUAACUGAGACUUAAAUAUUUAAGGAAAAAUGAUUAUAUGAGUAAAGUUUAAUUGUGAAGAUAAAAGAUUUUAAAAUAGGUUAAACAAAUUAUAAGAAGUGUAGGAAAUAAAAAAGGAACUCGGCAAAUCUUUCUUCUUGCCUGUUUAUCAAAAACAUGGCUAUUAUGAAAAUGUUUAUAGUCUAGCCUGCUCACUGAUAUAGAUAUUAAAUAGCCGCGGUAUCUUGACCGUGCAAAGGUAGCAUAAUCAUUAGUUUUUUAAUUGAAAACUUGUAUGAAUGGUUGGACAAAGAAGAGACUGUCUCUUUUAUUAAAAUUGAAUUUAACUUUUAAGUGAAAAGGCUUAAAUUUUUCAAAGGGACGAUAAGACCCUAUAAAGCUUUAUAAUUUUAAAGAUUUUAUAUAUUUUUCUAUAGUGAUAAUUUCUUGAAAAAUUUAUUUGGUUGGGGCGACAAUAGUAUAAUUAGAAUAACUGCUUUAAAUUAAUACAAAUAUAUUUGAGUUAGAAUUAGCUGAUCCUUUAUAAAGAUUUUAAGAUCAAGUUACUUUAGGGAUAACAGCGUUAUUUUUCCUGAGAGUCCUUAUCAAAGGAAGAGUUUGCGACCUCGAUGUUGAAUUAAAAUGUCUUUAUAGUGCAGCAGCUAUAAAAGAAGGUCUGUUCGACCUUUAAUAUUUUACAUGAUUUGAGUUCAGACCGGCGAGAGCCAGGUCGGUUUCUAUCUUUUGGAAAGAAAUAAUUUACCUUAGUACGAAAGGAUUGGGUAGAUAAAAAGUUUUUAAUAGUUGAAAU